AUGGUUAAGUUAGAAAGGGCGCACGGUGAAUGCCUUGGCACUAGGAGCCGAUGAAGGACGGGACUAACACCGAUAUGCUUCGGGGAGCUGUAAGUGAGCUUUGAUCCGGAGAUUUCCGAAUGGGGAAACCCACUGUUCGUAAUGGAACAGUAUCUUUAUCUGAAUACAUAGGAUAUUGAAGGCAGACCCGGGGAACUGAAACAUCUAAGUACCCGGAGGAAGAGAAAGCAAAUGCGAUUUCCUGAGUAGCGGCGAGCGAAACGGAAUUAGCCCAAACCAAGAGGCUUGCCUCUUGGGGUUGUAGGACACUCUAUACGGAGUUACAAAGGAACGAAGUAAAUGAAGCGACCUGGAAAGGUCCGUCGAAGAAGGUAACAACCCUGUAGUUGAAACUUCGUUCCCUCUUGAGUGGAUCCUGAGUACGGCGGAACACGUGAAAUUCCGUCGGAAGCUGGGAGGACCAUCUCCCAAGGCUAAAUACUACCUAGUGACCGAUAGUGAACCAGUACCGUGAGGGAAAGGUGAAAAGCACCCCGGAAGGGGAGUGAAAGAGAUCCUGAAACCGUGUGCCUACAAGUAGUCAGAGCCCGUUAACGGGUGAUGGCGUGCCUUUUGUAGAAUGAACCGGCGAGUUACGAUCCCAUGCAAGGUUAAGCUGAUAAGGCGGAGCCGUAGCGAAAGCGAGUCUGAAUAGGGCGUUUAGUAUGUGGUUGUAGACCCGAAACCAGGUGAUCUACCCAUGUCCAGGGUGAAGUUCAGGUAACACUGAAUGGAGGCCCGAACCCACGCACGUUGAAAAGUGCGGGGAUGAGGUGUGGGUAGCGGAGAAAUUCCAAUCGAACCUGGAGAUAGCUGGUUCUCUCCGAAAUAGCUUUAGGGCUAGCCUCAUGUUGUGAGAGUCUUGGAGGUAGAGCACUGAUUGGACUAGGGGCCCCCAACGGGUUACCGAAUUCAGUCAAACUCCGAAUGCCAAAGACUUAUCCAUGGGAGUCAGACUGCGAGUGAUAAGAUCCGUAGUCAAAAGGGAAACAGCCCAGACCACCAGCUAAGGUCCCCAAGUAUACGUUAAGUGGAAAAGGAUGUGGAGUUGCUUAGACAACCAGGAUGUUGGCUUAGAAGCAGCCACCAUUUAAAGAGUGCGUAAUAGCUCACUGGUCGAGUGACUCUGCGCCGAAAAUGUACCGGGGCUAAACGUAUCACCGAAGCUGUGGAUUGACAUCUUUGAUGUCAGUGGUAGGAGAGCGUUCUAAGUGCUGUGAAGUCAGACCGUAAGGACUGGUGGAGCGCUUAGAAGUGAGAAUGCCGGUAUGAGUAGCGAAAGACAAGUGAGAAUCUUGUCCACCGAAUGCCUAAGGUUUCCUGAGGAAGGCUCGUCCGCUCAGGGUUAGUCGGGACCUAAGCCGAGGCUGAAAAGCGUAGGCGAUGGCCAACAGGUUGAUAUUCCUGUACCACCUCCCCGCCGUUUGAGUAAUGGGGGGACGCAGUAGGAUAGGGUAAGCGCGCUGCUGGAUAUGCGCGUUCAAGCAGUUAGGCUGAUGAGUAGGCAAAUCCGCUCAUCAUAAAGGCUGAGCUGUGAUGACGAGGGAAUUAUAGUACCGAAGUUCCUGAUUCCACACUGCCAAGAAAAGCCUCUAGCGAGGCGGGAGGUGCCCGUACCGCAAACCGACACAGGUAGGCGAGGAGAGAAUCCUAAGGUGAUCGAGAGAACUCUCGUUAAGGAACUCGGCAAAAUGACCCCGUAACUUCGGGAGAAGGGGUGCUCUGGUAGGGUGUAUAGCCCGAGAGAGCCGCAGUGAAUAGGCCCAGGCGACUGUUUAGCAAAAACACAGGUCUCUGCGAAGCCGCAAGGCGAAGUAUAGGGGCUGACGCCUGCCCGGUGCUGGAAGGUUAAGAGGAGGGGUUAUCCUUUGGGAGAAGCUCUGAAUCGAAGCCCCAGUAAACGGCGGCCGUAACUAUAACGGUCCUAAGGUAGCGAAAUUCCUUGUCGGGUAAGUUCCGACCCGCACGAAAGGCGUAACGAUCUGGGCACUGUCUCAACGAGAGACUCGGUGAAAUUAUAGUACCUGUGAAGAUGCAGGUUACCCGCGACAGGACGGAAAGACCCCGUGGAGCUUUACUGUAGCCUGAUAUUGAAUUUUGGUACAGCUUGUACAGGAUAGGUAGGAGCCUGAGAAGCCGGAGCGCUAGCUUCGGUGGAGGCGUCGGUGGGAUACUACCCUGGCUGUAUUGAAAUUCUAACCCGCGGCCCUGAUCGGGCCGGGAGACAGUGUCAGGUGGGCAGUUUGACUGGGGCGGUCGCCUCCUAAAAUGUAACGGAGGCGCCCAAAGGUUCCCUCAGAAUGGUUGGAAAUCAUUCGUAGAGUGUAAAGGCACAAGGGAGCUUGACUGCGAGACCUACAAGUCGAGCAGGGACGAAAGUCGGGCUUAGUGAUCCGGUGGUUCCGCAUGGAAGGGCCAUCGCUCAACGGAUAAAAGCUACCCCGGGGAUAACAGGCUUAUCUCCCCCAAGAGUCCACAUCGACGGGGAGGUUUGGCACCUCGAUGUCGGCUCAUCGCAUCCUGGGGCUGUAGUCGGUCCCAAGGGUUGGGCUGUUCGCCCAUUAAAGCGGUACGCGAGCUGGGUUCAGAACGUCGUGAGACAGUUCGGUCCCUAUCCGUCGUGGGCGUAGGAAAUUUGAGAGGAGCUGUCCUUAGUACGAGAGGACCGGGAUGGACACACCGCUGGUGUACCAGUUGUCUUGCCAAAGGCAUCGCUGGGUAGCUAUGUGUGGACGGGAUAAGUGCUGAAAGCAUCUAAGCAUGAAGCCCCCCUCAAGAUGAGAUUUCCCAUAGCGCAAGCUAGUAAGAUCCCUGAAAGAUGAUCAGGUUGAUAGGUCAGAGGUGGAAGCAUGGCGACAUGUGUAGCUGACUGAUACUAAUCGAUCGAGGACUUAACCAAAC
Molecule: ribosomal RNA, 2940 nt
Filed under: Priestia megaterium
Lineage: Bacteria; Bacillati; Bacillota; Bacilli; Caryophanales; Bacillaceae
Description: Bacillus megaterium 23S ribosomal RNA
Rfam family: Bacterial large subunit ribosomal RNA
Source: RNAcentral